This 604-nucleotide ribosomal RNA is filed under the name bacterium. RNAcentral describes it as "bacterial SSU rRNA". It matches the Rfam family "Bacterial small subunit ribosomal RNA", at positions 16 to 636 of the family's 1533-position model. The record is from RNAcentral.
GGCAUUCAUCAGGAAGGAGGUUGUGCGGUCUACCAUGCAAGUCGAACGAUGAUGCCCAGCUUGCUGGGUGGAUUAGUGGCGAACGGGUGAGUAAUACGUGAGUAACCUGCCCUUGACUCUGGGAUAAGCCUGGGAAACCGGGUCUAAUACUGGAUACUACUGCGCAUCGCAUGGUGUGUGGUGGAAAGGGUUUUACUGGUUUUGGAUGGGCUCACGGCCUAUCAGCUUGUUGGUGGGGUAAUGGCUCACCAAGGCGACGACGGGUAGCCGGCCUGAGAGGGUGACCGGCCACACUGGGACUGAGACACGGCCCAGACUCCUACGGGAGGCAGCAGUGGGGAAUAUUGCACAAUGGGCGAAAGCCUGAUGCAGCGACGCCGCGUGAGGGAUGACGGCCUUCGGGUUGUAAACCUCUUUCAGUAGGGAAGAAGCGAAAGUGACGGUACCUGCAGAAGAAGCGCCGGCUAACUACGUGCCAGCAGCCGCGGUAAUACGUAGGGCGCAAGCGUUGUCCGGAAUUAUUGGGCGUAAAGAGCUCGUAGGCGGUUUGUCGCGUCUGCUGUGAAAGCCCGGGGCUCAACCCCGGGUCUGCAGUGGGUACGGG